AUGGCAAUGGGCAGUGCCAGCAGUGGCUGUGGCAUCCUGGAGCAGGAGGAUUUGGUGUGGUUCUAGUGUGGCACAGGCCAGAGUGAUGAUUCUGACAUUUGGGAUGCUACAGCACUGCUAAAAGUGGAUGAUAAAGCCGUGGCUUCAUUUAAACCAUGCUCUAAAGAAUGGUAAUAUUUGUGAAACUUCAGAUAAAUCAAAAUGUAUGCCUAAUAGAAAGCCUUCUAAGAAGAAUAAAAGCCCCCCCCCCCAAAAAAAAAAAGAAUACUGCAACUUUCUUGAAGUAGUGAAAAGUUGGGCACAAAUGUUUUGCCAUUUGGUCAGAAGACAGUGGCAUUUACCCAGCUACCAUUGCUUCUGUUGAUCUGAAGAGAGGAAGCUGUGUUGUGGUUUACACUGGAUAUAGAAGUAGGAGCUAAUCUGUGUGAUCUAGUUUCUUCAACCUCUGUAGCUAAUAUAGGACAGAAUGCUCAAGAGAAUGAAAACGAAAGUCAAGAUUCAGUGGAGGAAAGUGAGAACUCCAGAUCCUGGAAACAAAUCAUGUAGUAUCAGGUCAAAAGCUACUCCAUGGAAUUCUUUUCUCCCUCCACCAAACCCCAUGCCAGCAUCAGGACUGGGACCAGGAAAGCCAGGUCAGAUCUAAAAUUCAAUAGCCCACCAUCCAUACCACCCUACUUCCUAUCAUGCCGGCUGCCUCCAUUUCCUUCUGGACCACGAAUAAUCCCCCCACCACCUCUCACAUGACUAGAUUUUCUUGAUGAUGAUAAUACUUUAGGAAGUAUGUUAAUCUCUUGGUACAUGAGUGGCUAUCAUUCUGGCUACUAUACAGGGUAUGGAAAAUCAAAAAGAAGGAAGGUGCUCACAUUCCGAUUAA
Saimiri boliviensis boliviensis (Bolivian squirrel monkey) is the source of this 874-nucleotide non-coding RNA. The record is from RefSeq and is a predicted model, not a curated record. Lineage: Eukaryota; Metazoa; Chordata; Mammalia; Primates; Cebidae.